Molecule: long non-coding RNA, 4553 nt
Organism: Felis catus (domestic cat)
Lineage: Eukaryota; Metazoa; Chordata; Mammalia; Carnivora; Felidae
Exons: 3
Source: RefSeq, a predicted model, not a curated record
AGCCUGCUUCAGAUUCUGUGUCUCCCUCUCUCUCUGCCCCUCCCCUGCUUGUGCUCUGUCUCUCAAAAAUAAAUAAACAUUAAAAAAAAUCUCAAUAAACAACUGACUCCCUUGUUGCCUGCACCCAAAGGGAACCAAUCUGACCACACCACCCUUGGUACCACAGGUACCUACUAUCCUGGGGCUUUCAUUCUGUUUUAGGAAUGAGGAACUAAGGCCAGAGAGGCAGUGUGCCUCCAUUACAUCACAGGAGUGCUGAUGGCUGGUCUAGAACUAGAAGUCAGGUGCUCUGACUCCUUGUCCAGUGCUCUUUGUGCCACAUCAUUCUAUUUGAGAAGUGGUGGCAGUGACAGCCAUCUUGUUUGUCAUGUCUCUGUGUAUAAAAACCUUGAGCCUGACACCAUGGCCAAGAGCCUAGCUCCCUCCUGCUGUGCCACUUAUAGGAUGAGCAUAGCGGUGGGCUUGCGGUGCAGGGGGAGACUCAGAAAAUUACUGUUUGAGUGAGGAAAAGAAGGAAAGAAAUGCCCUCCAGACACUUUAGAAGCUUACCAUUCCUGAAUGUGGGGGGAGCAGUCGGGCAGCCAUCUGGUGGUAGAUUGAUUACAUUGGACCCCUUCCAUCAUGGAGAGCAUCGAUUUGGUCACCAUUGGAAUAGACACUUAUUCUGGAUGAGGAUUUGCCACCCUUUCCUGAAAUACUUCUGCCAGCCCAACCAUCUGUGUGCUCACAGAAUACCUCAUUCACUGUCGUGGUAUUAUACAAAAUAUUGCUUCUGAUUGGGGAUCUCAUUUCAGAGCAGUAUAAGAGCAGCAACAGAUUUGUGCUGGUGGGAAUUCACUAGUCUUACCACAUGCCCUAUAACCCGGAAGCAGUUGACCUGAUGGGACAUGGGAUGGCCUCCUGAAGGCUUGGUUAUGGUACCAGUUGUCCUGGAAGGUUGAGUUCUGUCUUACAGGAUGCACUAUAAGCUUUAGAUCUGUGACUGUCUCCCAUAGUAAUCAACCUUCUCAGUCCUCUACCUUACCUUUGGUUAAGGUCAGUUAAGUUGGUUAAGUUACCUUGAGGCAAGUCACUCCUCUAACUUACCUGCAGAAACUUUGAGGUUAGCUGGUUUGAAGGCAUUCGUUCUGAUGGAGGUAUGCUUCCAUCGGGAAACACAAUGAGUCCAUUGAACUGAGACUGCCAUCCGGCCAUGUUGAGCCCCUUGUGUCUCUGAACCAAAGGGAAGUUGGGUUGCUGCUACAAAGUGGGAGCAGAAGAACUAUAUCUGCAACUGUGGGGUACCUCUGAGAACAGUUGACCCUUGAACAACGUCAGGGGGCUAGGGAUGGUGACCCCCUUACACAUACACAGUAGAAAAUCUGUGUACAUAGUACAAAGUUAGAAAAAAUAAAGUCCUCUUUGGCCCAGCAUUUCAACUGUGGUGAUGUCAGUCCAGUCCCCAUCAUAUCUCACCAGACUUCCCUGUUACCAUUUUACCUCCUCCCAGUCCAGAGGCUCAUGCUCUGUUUGAGUCCAUUGAUUAGCUCAAACGCCCCUCCAGGUCCUCUGGGUCAAGGACAGUCUUCUAACAUGAUCUGCUGGCUGUUCUUACUUCCUCCUCCAGCCCAUCUCCAUAUUCUCUGCCCACUGCCACCCAGGCUUUCAGAUCCCAGAGCUUGCAGAUGCCCUCUGGCCUCAGGGCUUCGUCCAGAAUUCUCCCACCCCCAGACUCCCACCCAGAUGCACUACUCUUCAUCUGACGGCAGGUUGGGCGUCAUCUCAACCUCUCUUGGAAGUCUUCUUGGGCUCCCAGAAUCCUACGCGGUUCCUUUACAGCUCUCACUACUUUUGGUAAUUAUAAAAUCUGGCGAUUCUUUGUUUUUCAUUGAUGUCUGCCUCUCAUAGGAGGCCAUGGACUCCCCAAGGGCAGGGACUGUGUCUGUGUGACUCACUGUUGGCAUCCCAGAGCCAACACAGAGGCUGGCACAUAGUGGGCAUUCAUUAUUUAAUGAACAAAUUAAUACAAGAGAAGGACAUGUGUUAGAAAACUCUUGGAUGAAGAAAGUGUAUGAUGUUCUGGGAAAACCCUGCACGAGAUGCUUGGUUUCCUGAGAAUACACAGUUGGAAAUGUUAGGAGGGGCCAGAUCACGGGGGGCCUUGUUGGCCACAUUAAGUGGACUGGUUCAGAUUGUUCAGAUCCAGAGAACCAUGGAAAGUGGCAAAAUGGAGAAGUGAUGUGUGUGCCAGGCAGCCCCUUUGGCUGUCUCUGCGGUGGUAAAGGGAGAAGUGGGGGCCGGGAGACCCCAAGAUGGGCUGACACCACAGUCCUGAUUAGGGUCUUGCUGGUUUGAGCUGGGGUCGUGGUGAUGGUGAUGGGAUGUAGGAAUGGAGUCACCAUUUGUGGCAAUUAAUCUAACACUCAGUGGCUCUUGGCCCUUCCCUGAAAAACAAAACAAAACAAAAACAAAAACCAGUGUGUCUGUAUAAGAGAGAUGGUAAUGGAACCCCAUAGGGGCCUGGUGGGGACUGAGUGUGUUUUACAGACACAUCCUUUGAUCACAAAGAGAAUUUUGCAAAUGGUCCCUCCAGAGGCAGUCACCAGGACAUGAUUACACAGCCCAGGGGCUUGGGGCAGAGACAGGGGCAGGGCCCUCGUCCCUACGGCCAGGAGCUGUGGGGACAGCAGCAGAGCCUGGCAAUGGUGAAUGGAAAAUUGGCUUGUUAUGCAGUAAAUCUCUCUCCAGCACUUCUUCAUUUAGGCUUUGACGCGGAGCCAGAGGAAGGAGCUGGGAGACCCUGGAGCCUGAGAAGCCCCCGGAGCCUCAGCCGGAGCCAGGAAGGGGCUGCUGCUCUGGCUAGGCAGGGAUGGAGCCUUGUAAUUGGUUGCAGAGUUGGAGGGCGGGGCCGCCAGGUCACCUAGCUCUUCUUAAGAAAGAAGAAGAGGAAGAAACUCCAGACCUUCCUCUUUGCCGUGUGAGGAUACAGCAAGAAGGCAGUUUUCUGCAAGCCAGGAAAAGGGACCUGAUCAUGCUGGCACCCUGAUCUUGGACUUCCAAGCCUCCAAAACUAUGAAAAAUAAAUGUCUGUUUUCAAACCACCCAGUCUAUCCAGUCUGUGGUAUUUUAUUGUAGCAGCCAGAGCUAAGACAGUAAUUUGUCUCUAUCUCUAUCCAUAUCUAUAUCUUUAGCCAUAUCCAUAUAGUUCUACCUAGGAGAGAACUAGCUGGUUCAUAGGGUAGGUGAAUGGAUUUCUACUCACAAAGCACUGAAUUGCAUCAAAUGUGAAUCGAGUCUCUGUUCACAUCAAAUACGCUGUUGGGCUCCCGGUUCGCAUGAGGCUGUUGAACUCAGACUCUGACUCUGAGGUUGGACAUCAGUUCAGCACAAGACUUUAAAGCAAACACUUUUAUAUAACCAGGCAGCUUGUUCUCUAACCUUUCACUGUUUUAAUAUUUGUAGAAAAUUUAAUAUUUUCAAUUAUGUAAUUGAACUUUGGUUUUCUGCAGGCUUGAGUAAAUCUUGAAUUCCCUCUAAUUCUUUCUUGACUUUUCAGGGGCUUGUCUAAAGUUUGUUUUGCCAGAUGUCAAAUCUUCAGUUCUCUUUAGUUGUCCUAGAGCAGAUCUUGUCUGUGUCUGUUGGAAAGAGCCUUGGGAUACUUCCCUAGUCCACUAAUGAGUUUUCUAUGCCUGGAAAUUAUUAUUUUUUUCCACCCAGAAGGCAAUUUCUCCAAAAAAUGACCUCUUUUACCCUAGAUCUUUGCUUUUUGAAAUAAUAGCUGCUGUAUAUACCAUUUGUAUUGAAAGCUUAUUAUGUUGGCUCACUAAAUACCUCUGGUUGUAGAAAAUUUCUGACUUACAAACUUGCUUCUAAUUUUAACAAGGGUCACACUUCUUGUUUUAGCAAUAAAGAGCCUUGUUCAUAGUGGAUGCACAACAAAUAUUUGUUGAAUCCACUUGAUGAAAAUCUUUUAAGGAGACAUAACACAGAACUGUAACUAGAGGCUGUGGAAGUUUCCUUCCAGCUCCAAGGUUUUAAGGCAAAGCCCUCAGGUGAUUUCCUCACCCUAAGUCCUGGGAAUGGGCAGCUGGGGAAAGGGGUAAGCAACUGAUUUUCAUAGCAGAAAGGAGUGGAUCUGCCUGGGCAGCAGUCCGGGGUCCCUGGUUGGGCACAUUUAUCUAGACGCCAGCUGGUCUGGCUCUGGACUGUUACGAUAACUGGAUUUCUAAAUUCUGUCUUUCCUCAAGGAUCGAGGACCUGGGUUUUCUGCUCCCAUUACAGUUCAUUUUGAUUUCAUAAACAUUUUUGAGCAUCUGCUAGGUCCCAGUUAUUGUGCUAGGUGCUGGACAGCAAACGUGAACAUAAUGGAAGCUGAUCUAUGAUAGCCAGUCAGCUCUGUGACCCUGAGUUAGUUAUUUCUCCUCUAGGGGCUCUGUUUCCUUAUCUGUAAAAUGGGGCUGUAGCUUGGGGAUUGCAGUUUAUCUCUGGAGAAGCAUUGAACUGUGCCAUGCAUCUGUUCUCAUAGAGGGAAACUGAGGUCUGGGUGGGUGGACAUACUGGACUGGUCACAGAGC